GAUUGAACGCUGGCGGCAUGCUUUACACAUGCAAGUCGAACGGCAGCACGGAAGAGCUUGCUCUUUUGGUGGCGAGUGGCGAACGGGUGAGUAAUGCAUCGGAACGUACCGAGUAGUGGGGGAUAACUGUCCGAAAGGAUGGCUAAUACCGCAUACGCUUUGCGAAGGAAAGCGGGGGCUCUUCGGACCUCGCGCUAUUCGAGCGGCCGAUGUCUGAUUAGCUAGUUGGUGGGGUAAGGGCCUACCAAGGCGACGAUCAGUAGCGGGUCUGAGAGGAUGAUCCGCCACACUGGGACUGAGACACGGCCCAGACUCCUACGGGAGGCAGCAGUGGGGAAUUUUGGACAAUGGGGGGAACCCUGAUCCAGCCAUGCCGCGUGUCUGAAGAAGGCCUUCGGGUUGUAAAGGACUUUUGUCAGGGAAGAAAAGCUUUGGGUUAAUACCCCGGGGUAAUGACGGUACCUGAAGAAUAAGCACCGGCUAACUACGU
Molecule: ribosomal RNA, 490 nt
Filed under: Neisseriaceae bacterium 'ARUP UnID 428'
Lineage: Bacteria; Pseudomonadati; Pseudomonadota; Betaproteobacteria; Neisseriales; Neisseriaceae
Description: bacterial SSU rRNA
Rfam family: Bacterial small subunit ribosomal RNA
Source: RNAcentral